AGUAACGCGUAGGUAACCUGCCUUGUAGCGGGGGAUAACUAUUGGAAACGAUAGCUAAUACCGCAUAACAAUGGAUGACCCAUGUCAUUUAUUUGAAAGGGGCAAAUGCUCCACUACAAGAUGGACCUGCGUUGUAUUAGCUAGUAGGUGAGGUAACGGCUCACCAAGGCGACGAUACAUAGCCGACCUGAGAGGGUGAUCGGCCACACUGGGACUGAGACACGGCCCAG
This 230-nucleotide ribosomal RNA is filed under the name uncultured Streptococcaceae bacterium. Its description in RNAcentral is "partial 16S ribosomal RNA". It matches the Rfam family "Bacterial small subunit ribosomal RNA", at positions 109 to 334 of the family's 1533-position model. Lineage: Bacteria; Bacillati; Bacillota; Bacilli; Lactobacillales; Streptococcaceae. The record is from RNAcentral.